This 7859-nucleotide long non-coding RNA is filed under the name Nicotiana tabacum (common tobacco). Its description in RNAcentral is "long non-coding RNA (NTAB_LNC005515)". Lineage: Eukaryota; Viridiplantae; Streptophyta; Magnoliopsida; Solanales; Solanaceae. The record is from RNAcentral.
UAGACUAUGAAAUAUUUUCAAAGGAUUGUUUCUUGAUCAGAUGAUGAGAAGAUGGAUCUUGAGACCCUAUGUCUCCGCAUGCAUUAUGUUAAAGCUGGUUGUAGCUGGUAUUGAGAUCAAACAUUCCACUUUCUUUGGCAAGAACUGGAAUCUUAUUUUUGCACAUCCAAUCUGUGCUUUGCAGAAAAACCUACAAUCCAUCACAAACAAACAAAACGAACAAAAAUUUUCUGCCCCAGCUUGCACUAGAAAAUUUUUGUGAGUUAUUGAAAAUACAAUAAAACUAUCUUUGCUAUUGCAGAAUAAAGAAUUAAAAAAGAAAUGGGCUUUUUGUUUUGAUGAUUGGGGAUGUCGUACCCUAUGUUAACAAGAAGGAAGGCAACUAGGGGAUGUAGUAACAAUAAGAUGUGACUCGUGGCACUCUAGGAAAAUACUAAGGAAUGUCUUACCCUAUGUUGGAAGCAAGAAAUAAAACCAGGGGAUGUAGUACCCUGUGUUGGCAAUAAGAUGAGGCUCAUGGCACUUUGGGAUACUACUAGGGAAUGUCAUACCCCAUGUUGGCAACAAGUAAUGUAACUAGGGAAUGUAGUACCCUGUGUUGGUAAUAAGGUGAGGUUCGUGGCACUUUGGAAUGCUACUAGGGAAUGUCGUACCCCAUGUUUGCAAUAAGGAAUGCAACCAGAGGGUGUAGUACCCUAUGUUGGCAAUUAAGAGGAGGCUCGUGGCACUCUGGAAUGCUACUAGGGAAUGUCAUACCCUAUGUUGGCAAUAGGAUGAGGCUCGUGGAGCUUUGAGAUGCUACUAGGGAAUGUCGUACCCUAUGUUGGCAAUAAAAUGAGGCUCGUGGUGCUUUGAGAUACUACUAGGGAAUAUCGUACCCUAUAUUGGCAGAAAGUAAUGCAGCAAGGGGAUGUAGUACCCUGUGUUGGUAACAAGAUAAGGCUCGUGGCGCUCUGAGAUGCUACUAGGGAAUAUCGUACCCUAUGUUGGCAGAAAGUAAUGCAGCCAGGGGAUGUAGUACCCUGUGUUAGCAAUAAGAUGUGGCUUGUGGCACUCUGGGAUGCUACUAGGGAAUGUCGUACCCUAUGUUUGCAACAAGAAAUGCAACCAGGGGAUGCAGUGCCCUGUGUUGAAGAUAGGGUAUUGGUUCCCUAAAAUGAAACUAAAAAUAAAAUGAUUACAUGUAUAUUGGAAGAAAAUCAAGGAUUUGAGAACUUCACUUGGUGGUGUUCGUCUUUUCUCGAACGGUUUCCUACAACUGUUCUGUUCCUGUUCUGAACAAAGAAAGAAUCGUUAGUUUUAAAAUGGAGGUCAUUUUGUGGCCUUGAUUAUUUCGAUCUCUUGAUCUCGGCUCAUCUUCUUCUCAACUGCAACUGAUUAUUUCCUGAAUACCAACUCCAUUUCUGACCCCGGAGAACCUUUGGCAUUUCUAAACUCUGCCAUGACAGUUGGUCGUGUAGGACUUAACCUUUUUCAACUUUAUUUUGCCUUUGUGGGCAUUUUGCUUUUUGGCUUCUUUCAAAGUUUUCCAUUUCAAAACAUCGGCCAAUCAUGGACAGUCGGGGUCGACUUGAUGCCCUUGCCGAGGCUGGGCGCCUUUUGAAUAUAUCAGCUCGCUUCAAACGAGAACCCUGUAAAUCGGUCUUGCCGUUUUUUCUUUGCCUUAUUUUUUUAAACAAAGUUAGAUCGAAAGGGAUUCAAAGAAAUAUAAACAAUGGAAUAGAGAAUGAGUUUAAAACAAGAGGGGUCCCUUUUGGGGAACAGAAAGACGGACUUAUCUGGGAGUACAUGCGGACUUCAAUGAAUAUGACAUGCCUUUUGGACAGGAUGUCUGAUCUGUGUAAACUGUCCGACUCUUAGAAACUCAUCAUAACUUUUGACUUGAAACCGAAAAAUCUUACUCAGGACUGUGUUGAUGCCAUGGCUGCGUGGUUCCUCUUUUCGAUCAACAGUACCCUUUGCGGGUUUUCACUAGCUGUUCUCUCUUAUUUAUCUUCUCGCCAUCGCCUUAUAGUGCCCUUUGCGAGUUUUCACUAACAAGAGUCUCUCAUUUUUAUUUUCUCUACUCUUCAUCACCCUACAGUGCCCAUGAGGGUUUUCAUCAAUAUGACUCUCUCAUUUUAUUUCUCUCAUUUGAUUGCAUCCGAUCCAAAUAACUGUAUCCUCCAAUUCUUGAACAUUAUUGUCGAUUGAUCGGAAGGACUUGAAAGGAUUUGGGUAAAAAGAAUUUGGAUUAAAUUAGAACUUUGGAACCUUUCUGGCGAAACCUUCAUCGAACCAUUGUAACAUCUGCCCCAGUUUUCAGUUUUAGGGAAUGUGGAUAUUUGUUUUGGUGUAACCGAACUCCAGAGUGAGGCUGCCUACGUAUCCUUUCAGAAUCAGGUCGGACGUAUUUCAAUUAACAUGAACUUGUUUUGGACUCUUUUUUUUUUAUCUUUUCUUUUUUUUAUUUUUAUCAUUUUUUAUUUUUUUUUCAAUCCCUUUCUUUUCUUUUUCUUUUUCAUUACAUACAAGGUUCCAAAGAGGGUGGCCAAGGAAAAAAUAUCUGGCUCAAAGGUAACGCAUAGGGUUAAUAGUAUUUGGGUAGUGAUAAUGAAAGCCUUCGUCAUCCCAAUCAGAGAGCAAUUUGCGUAAAGGGUCAAACAUAAUACCUUUUGACCGCGUCUGCAUUGACAGUUGUAUCAGGAAUAUUUUCUUCGAUGUCUCCCAAAUACAGUACUCCCUUCGGCAGCACUCUUGUUACAAUGUAUGAAUCUUCCAAUUCGGGCCAAAUUUUUCUUUAGCUUCCUCGUGAUGCAGAAGAAUACGCCUCAGAACGAGUUGCCCUACUUCAAAAUUCUUGGGCCGCACUUUCUUGUUGUAGGCACGGGCCAUUCUUUGUUGGUACAACUGCCUGUGACAAACUGCAGCCAAUCACUUUUCAUCAACCAAAGUCAAUUGCUUCAAUCGGGUCUUGACCCAAUCUUCAUCUUCGAACUCAAUUUCAACAAUGAUCCGAAGAGUGGGAAUUUCAACUUCUACUGAUAUCACGACUUCAGUGCCAUAAACCAAUCAAGUAAGGGCAGUUUUCGUUUGGACUUGGUUUAGACUUGUUGUCCUAAUUCUCAGUUAAUUUUCUUACAAGCCAUAUCUUCGGCACAUUCUACUUAUUGAUUUAUUAUUUCAAGGUCUAACGGCGUUUUAAGAUCUGGGCAUGAAGUCCGCAAGCAUGUCAUGUUAUUAAAAUCUGCAUGUAACAGAACUAGAAAGAAAGUAAGAAAAGUGACAAGAGUAAGAAAAGAGACAUUCAUGGAUGAUGAAAUAUUAAUUUCAUUUAUUUGAAUUUAUUUAUUUUAAAAAAAAAGAUAGAAGGGUUUACAUCAGAAACUAAGAUAAUAGAGUAAAAAUAUUCGGAUUACACCCUGAAAUAACCCAAAAUGCAGAAAAGACAGUAAGACCGGCUACCGAGACUCCCGUCCGAUAGGGAACUUUUCAAGUCUGGCGACUGCUUUUAGUUUUUUCUUCUAUCAUGGCCAUGGCUACAAUGGCUUUUAGUGUCACAUCAAAUUCCUUGUCAUCACAAAUCAUUCCAAUGACUGGCCCUUUGUUAUGAGUAGGCAAAAGAUUGGUCGUCACAUUAGAGGCCUCUUCUUCCCUAAGAACUAUUGCCUUGACCUCAAUGAGGUCCUCUACUGCUCUUUUAAGAGUCCAACAGUGCUCAGUAUCGUGUCUCACUGCUCCAGAGUGAUAUUCACAUCUAGCAUCAGCUCGGUGCGGAGAGGGACUUGUAGUCGGCCAGUUCGGGGCCACUAGUUGCAGCAGACCUAGCCUGGUUAGCUUUUGGAAUAAACUUGAACAUGAUUCACCAAUAAGGGUGAACUGAUUCCUUCUAGGAGGCUCUCUUGGGUGAGGAUCGCAUUGGAAAAAUAUUUAUCGGGGACUAUACGGAGCUUAGUAGGGACGGGCAUUUCUGAGAGGUGGAGCUCAGUUUUGUGGCCGGGUGUAUGAUUGUGCAUUCAUCACCGUCUAGUGUGCCGGUGCCACGGCAUAUGCAGCAUCAUGGUGCGGGUAAUAAUGUUUGCGGUCUUUUGGAUAGCAUAUAUGAUUGGUUGAAUGACUAGCGGCCCCCCUCGAGCUCGAAGCUAUCAUGGCUCCCUCUUCUCUUUUUGUCCUGUUCGUCAAACCCCCCUAAUCAUUCUGAACAGCCUGUGAUAUGGCCUUAAAGGAAACCUGACUUAGUAUUCUUCCCGUCUUCAAACCAUUUUCGAUUAUUUCCCCAAUUUUAGUAGCCUCAGUGAACGACUUUCCCAUGCACGACAUCAUAUUUUGGAAGUAGUGUGACUCUUGGGCCUGCAGAAAGACCUUAACCAUCUCCCCUUCAUCAAUUGGAGGCUUUACCCUAGCGGCCUGAUCUCGCCACUUGACAGCAUAUUCACGAAAACUUUCCGUGGGCUCUCUUUUCAAAUUGGACAACGAAAUUUCUAUCAGGAGCAAUAUCCACAUUGUACUAGAACUGGCAGACAAAGUCUUGGGCUAGGUCAUCCCAGACAUGCCAAUGAGCGAUAUCUUGAUCCAUGUACCACUCGGAAGCAAUUCCUGUCAAACUUUUCCCAAAAUAGGCCAUGAGCAAUUCUUCUUUGCCUCUCGCUUCCCUUAUGAGGGUUACAAUACCUCUUCAGAUGGGCCAUAGGAACACCAUGCCCAUCGUACUUAUCAAAUUUGGGGGUCUUGUAAGGGUAAAUCGCCAGUUUAAACCAUAAACCAACCAUCUUUGUUUAACUUUAUCUUUUAUGACAAACAACAAAUGUGUUAGAGUUAGGCAUUUUAUAUAUAUUAGCCACACAUUGUAUAUCAUGCACCUAAUGCCAUUUUUAUUUUUAAAAUAAGCUUAGAAGGCUUCAUGCUUCAUCUUGGCUUAUUGGUUUAUUUUAUCUUGACUUUAACACUCUCUUUUUUUCUUUUUUUUUUGUCAAUCAUUUUCCUCAUUUUAUUUUUUUACUCUUUUGUGAUUUUAAAAGAAUUUUGAUCGAACCCGUUGGAGUUUGCCUACGUAUCAUGUUGAACAAGAAUCAGAUCAUUACGUAGUUCAGGAAGAUCAGGAAUAAAGUAAAUAAACUAACUCUAUUUUUUUUACUCUUUAAAAAAAUAUAUAAUCGUAAAAGCUCCUAACAAGGAAAAUAUUUUUGGAUUUUAUAUUUUUUUUUAUUGGAAAUAUUCGAAAGAAAGGCUUCUAAACAAGAAAGAAAAUAUUUUUGAAUUUUUAAAUUUGAUGUCUCCAAGAAAAAAUUCUAAAGAAGGAAUUAAAGGAAAAUAUUUUUGGAUUUUUGAAAAUUGAGGGCCGGAACCGAUGAGGUUUGCCUACGUAUCUCACAUCCGGUGAGAAUCAGACCCGCGUAGUUCGGUAAGUUUUGACACAACAGGAAAAACAUGACUUUUUAAAAAUAUUGGCUCAUUUUGAAAUGACUUUUUCUUUUUUUCUCUUUUUUUAUUCAAAAUUUCGGCACAGUUUCAGGGUUUUCAAAUACCUGGAUUUUUUAGAAAUCGGGUAAAUUUUCUCUCUCCUGUCUUACUUUUGGUUUUUUUUGGUUUCCUUUCCCUAUUCUAGAAGCCUGUCAACAUACUAACUGAAACAAACAUAUGCACAAGUAGUACGUAAAAAUGCAUCAGGAUGGUCUUUAUAUUGGGUGUACCUGUCCUAGACGGACCCAACCCCUGUGUUGAGUCCUCAAAAUCUAAUGCAUGUGAUGUAAACAAACGUUCCUACUAUGGAUCCGGCAUGAGGCUAUGUGAUUCUAAGUUUAAAUCUUGGGGGGGUGUUUUAGACCUGGCUUACCCAAGAGGACAGCUCGAGCCGAGGUGGGGGCAACGUACCGGGAGCACGAAAGUCUAUCCGGCCUAGUUACUGACCCAACCUCGUUCUAAUUGGUAUGACCUCUAACAGAAAAGUGGGUCACGCGCACGUGUGCACUAAUAAAUUCAGAAGUCUCAGAAGGGAGGCGUAAGAAGAUAAUUUAAUACAGUUCAAAUAAUAUCAAAGCAGUAAAUAAGCGGCAAUUAGCACAUUAGGCCCACAAAUACAAUAAUCAUACAAUCAAUAAAGCCAAGUAUAGAUCACAUUACAAGCUCGAAUUCUGAACCCAAACCAGAAGUUUUGUGUUUGUGUCCCCAGAAGAGUCGCCAGAGCUGUCACACCUCAUUUUUCCCUAGGGAUAGGGCGUUUUUCUAAUUUAAGUGACAUUAAUCGAAAUAGGAUUAUUUAUUAGAUUCAGAGUCGCCACUUGGAAUAAAUAUUUAUGGUGUCCCAAGUCACCAUUUAUUUUAAAAUUCCAAUUCAAGGAAAAUUGACUAUGUUUAAGUCUGCAAAACAUAGAAGACCGGGUAAGAAAUUCUGUUAACCCGGAAGAAGGUGUGAGGUACUCCCGAAUUCCGUGAUUUUAGCACGGUCGCUUUACAAUUACAGUUGGCUUAAUUAUAUGAUUAUUACGCAUUUUACCUUUGGGCAUUUUAAUCUUUUAUCGCUUUUAAAUUACUUUGUUAUUAGAGUGUAGAAUUAUCUUCGAAACAGAUUACAUGUGUGUGAAUCCAUUUUGUUUAGUAUGUUAAUAUCAUGUCACGCGUACGUGUACACGGUUAAUAACAACUAAUUAAUUAUGAAGAUUGUUUGGCCAAAGUCGCGCGAACGCGUACCUUGAAUUAUUUUAGAAAUCAUAAUUAUGUCACGCGAACGUGUACAUAAUCAUGAUGACUUGAUUAAGAGCGCGCCUAAAAGCACACUAUCAUUUUUUGAAUAUGUACGACAUUAUUCAGUAUAAAAGAAAUGGGCCAGCUUAUUCAUAAUGUGCGGGUGUUCUAAUUUUGGCCCAUUUAACUCAACUAAUAGUCUAUAUACUCAAAUGAAUAUCUAAAGCACAACUAUUUGCAAGGUCAAACACUAGCCCAUUAAUAUGAACGAAUCUUCAUUCUUUAAUUCUAAAAAAUUAAUUAAAAUAAAAUCUUGUUCAACUAAUCUGCUUAGCAAAUAACUUGAAACAUACAAAGGAAUCUGAAGCCAUAGCAAUUAUAAACAAUGGUAAUAAACAAAAUGGCAUAGCAAAUCUCUCAUAAAUUCCCAUUUUUAGCAUAUAAACCAAGAACAAUCUUAAGCAAUUUGGACAAAAUUCCAUGAGCUAUGCGUAAACUAAUCAAGCGCGCAUUUGAACUCUUAAACUGACAGUUGUCAACUCAGCAAAUAACUAACAAGAUCUUUUAGGUAUGUAAGUUAACAAAAUUUGAAGAGAGAAAAAUAAAAGAUAAGAAUGAACCUCAAAGGCAAUAAACUUUGUUCAAUAUUGAGAAGGCAAACUUAUACAACGGAGUAUCCUUCUGCUAUCCAAAGUGAAACCUCAUCAACGGAACCGGACUGGAAACUUCGUCGUAAAACUUUGAACGGCAACCUCGACUAUCUUUGUGGUGGUUUAAAGUCUGAUUGGCGUUGGUUCUUGGACUAAUUAUCGGAACUGUUUUGCAGGUGUUUUAUGGCUUCUUUUUGUGGGGUUUUUGCUGGUAUUUCAGCAGUGUCUCGGGGUCAUUUCAGGUGGAAGAAAGCAGCCGGUUAGUUGUAGUUUUGGGGUGCUUUGUUGGCUGAAAGAAUGGCUGAUUCCUUGAUAUUUGUAGGUGGUUACAUGGCCGUUGAGGGGUGGGUUUUGGAGCUGCUACAUGGCUGUGAUGAUGGAUCGGAGUACUCGAGCGGCUCUAAUGGAGGAAAUUACAUAGAUGAUUUUGUGUGAGCAAAAACCAAGAUGAUUGCCUAAGGUUUGCCUAAUUGUUCUCCCUUUACUAAAGUGUGUGUGUGCUAUAUAUAGAAUGUAUGUGCGUGACGGAUGUGUGGAAGUGGGAAUGUG